GACGAACGCUGGCGGCGUGCUUAACACAUGCAAGUCGAACGGAAAGGCCCUGCUUUUGUGGGGUGCUCGAGUGGCGAACGGGUGAGUCACACGUGAGUAACCUGCCCUUGCCUUUGGGCUUACUUCAGGAAACUGGGGCUCCUACCGGAUAGGAGCUCCUGCUGCAUGGUGGGGGUUGGAAAGUUUCGGCGGUUGGGGAUGGACUCGCGGCUUAUUAGCUUGUUGGUGGGGUAGUGGCUUACCAAGGCUUUGACGGUUAGCCGGCCGGAGAGGGUGACCGGCCAAAUGGGGACGGGGAAACGGCCCGGACUCCAACGGGAGGAGGCAGUGGGGAAAAUUGCACAAUGGGCGGAAGCCGGAGGCAGCAACGCCGCGGGGGGGAGGACGGCCUUCGGGUUGUAAACCGCUUUCGCCGGUGACGAAGCGGGAGUGACGGUAAUGGGUAAAGAAGCACCGGCUAACUACGUG
This 468-nucleotide ribosomal RNA is filed under the name uncultured bacterium. Its description in RNAcentral is "partial 16S ribosomal RNA". It matches the Rfam family "Bacterial small subunit ribosomal RNA", at positions 28 to 507 of the family's 1533-position model. The record is from RNAcentral.